GGGGAAUAUUGCACAAUGGGGGAAACCCUGAUGCAGCGACGCCGCGUGAGUGAAGAAGUAUUUCGGUCUGUAAAGCUCUAUCAGCAAGGAAGAUAAUGACGGUACUUGACUAAGAAGCCCCGGCUAACUACGUGCCAGCAGCCGCGGUAAUACGUAGGGGGCAAGCGUUAUCCGGAUUUACUGGGUGUAAAGGGAGCGUAGGUGGCAUGGUAAGUCAGAUGUGAAAGCCCAGGGCUCAACCCUGGGAUUGCAUUUGAAACUAUCAGGCUAGGGUGCAGGAGAGGUAAGUGGAAUUCCUAGUGUAGCGGUGAAAUGCGUAGAUAUUAGGAAGAACACCAGUGGCGAAGGCGGCUUACUGGACUGUCACUGACACUGAGGCUCGAAAGCGUGGGGAGCAAAC
RNAcentral lists this ribosomal RNA (400 nucleotides) under uncultured bacterium. Its description in RNAcentral is "bacterial SSU rRNA". It matches the Rfam family "Bacterial small subunit ribosomal RNA", at positions 356 to 773 of the family's 1533-position model. The record is from RNAcentral.